AGCAGCCGCGGUAAUUCCAGCUCCAAUAGCGUAUAUUAAAGUUGUUGCAGUUAAAAAGCUCGUAGUUGAAUUUCGGAAUCUGUCCGUCGGUCGGGCUUCACUGUCCGCACUGGUGUGAUGGGUUUCUACCUUCUGAAUAACCGGCAUGUCAUUAAUUUGGUGCGCCGGGGAAGCAGAACUAUUACCUUGAAAAAAUUAGAGUGCUUAAAGCAGGCUAUCGCCUGAAUAGAUUAGCAUGGAAUAAUAAAAUAGGACGGCAUGGUUCUAUUUUGUUGGUUUCUAGGAUCACCGUAAUGAUUAAUAGGGAUAGUUGGGGGCAUUAGUAUUCAAUUGUCAGAGGUGAAAUUCUUGGAUUUAUUGAAGACUAACUUCUGCGAAAGCAUUUGCCAAGGAUGUUUUCAUUAAUCAAGAACGAAAGUUAGGGGAUCGAAGACGAUCAGAUACCGUCGUAGUCUUAACCAUAAACUAUGCCGACUAGGGAUCGGACGAUGUUAAUUUUUAAUGACUCGUUCGGCGCCUU
RNAcentral lists this ribosomal RNA (520 nucleotides) under uncultured Acaulospora. Its description in RNAcentral is "SSU rRNA". It matches the Rfam family "Eukaryotic small subunit ribosomal RNA", at positions 569 to 1089 of the family's 1831-position model. The record is from RNAcentral. Lineage: Eukaryota; Fungi; Glomeromycota; Glomeromycetes; Diversisporales; Acaulosporaceae.